CAUUUGAAAACCACAAUCCAAAAAAUACUGUACAGUGUGUUGGCGCUUCUAAUAAUACAAAUAAGGGUGUGUAGAAGGUAUCACCUUAAAUGUACACAUAAGUGAAAAACAAAACAAACAAACAUUCCAUCUUUCAGUGAGUACACACAAAAUAUACUUAUGUACAAGCUGCGAUGGACAGCAUUCUAUAAAUAUCUGUAGGACACAAAAAAGGACAAAACAUAGUGUAUUCUUUAUAAAAAAUAUAAAUAGUAGAUCACAGGAAAUAAAACUCAUGACAAGUAAAAAGUUGUGCCAGGCUCUAGGACGUAAGCUUCAAGGUACCUCUACAGGCUUGGAAUCCCACUUGGUCAGGAACCACGGGAAUCUUGCAGAUACACAUAUAUGGUGUUCUUUAUUCAAUAACAUAUUAAAGCAUAUAGAAAAUAAAAAAUAUAUAAUCGGACUAGAAGAAAAAGCAUAGGCAGUGUAAAGCAAGCUAACAAGAAUUGUCAGUUCGGAUGGAGAGCCCCAGAAGCAGCAAAUGCGUUUCGACACCAUGAUCUUCAGUGCUUAAACAGGAACUUGUGAACACCCACUCACCAGCAUUAAAGAAUAAUGGCCAUUAUGGGCAUUGCCAGUGAUGCAAGUUGCCCACCCACUGUGCCGAUUCCCACAUUAAAGGAGGGAAUUGUUUGAAGGCAGAACUUUAAACAUCAAUUAUAAAGAUAAGCCAAUUAGGUAAAUAAAAUACAAUGUUAUUCCAAAAUCAAGCUGGUUGUUGUUUUAUUUGUAAUCCAAACUGGUUAAAAGGAAUGACUGAAUCCUGGGUCAGGUUGGCAACAAGUAAGGCAAAUCUGAAGCAUAACAGCAGUAUCUAAAGUUCAGUAUUGGUCAACAACGAGUAAGGAUAUGUACAAAGUUCCAAUUCAGGUCGGCAACAAUUAAGGUUAUAUAUAUAUAAGCAGGGCCGGAUUAACAUAGGGACUGAUGGCGCUGCA
This is a non-coding RNA of Pelobates cultripes (western spadefoot toad), 980 nucleotides long. The record is from the annotation of a GenBank genome assembly. NCBI's taxonomy places the organism in Eukaryota, Metazoa, Chordata, Amphibia, Anura, Pelobatidae.